UACAGCGGGAAGCGACCGAGCGAUCGGCAGCGGAACCCGAAAACCUGUCUCAGUUCGGAUCGGAGUCUGCAACCCGACUCCGUGAAGCUGGAUUCGCUAGUAAUCGCGCAUCAGCCACGGCGCGGUGAAUACGUUCCCGGGCCUUGUACGCACCGCCCGUCAAGCCAUGGAAGCCGGGAGUGCCUGAAGUGCGUGACCGCAAGGAGCGUCCUAAGGCAAUACCGGUGACUGGGGCUAAGUCGUAACAAGGUAGC
This 254-nucleotide ribosomal RNA is filed under the name uncultured bacterium. Its description in RNAcentral is "partial 16S ribosomal RNA". It matches the Rfam family "Bacterial small subunit ribosomal RNA", at positions 1238 to 1500 of the family's 1533-position model. The record is from RNAcentral.